RNAcentral lists this long non-coding RNA (355 nucleotides) under Elaeis guineensis (African oil palm). RNAcentral's name for it is "long non-coding RNA (EGUI_LNC067610)". Lineage: Eukaryota; Viridiplantae; Streptophyta; Magnoliopsida; Arecales; Arecaceae. The record is from RNAcentral.
GAUUAAGUCUGGGUCAAGGUCGAAUCACAUUUAGAUGUGACUCGAUCAAGUUAAGACCUAAUUUGACUCAGUGGUUAGAGUCUGGAUUGUAGGCUAACCCAAUUAGUUCUGGUUCGACAAUUUGGUAUCUAAGGUAAGUUGGGCAGAUGCGAUCGAAUAGUUUUUAAUUGGGAGCUACUCGACUCGAAUGCAUUCUUGUCGAGUUAAUGGCAUAUCCCUUCCACCGAUCUCACUUACCUAGCCAUAUGUGUCGACCCAGUUCUGAUUUGAGGUGACUAACAAUUCGAGCUAACCCAUGCCACUAGGUUAGUCAUAAUUGUUAUGACUAUAUCAAGUCAAAUUUAAUGAGACCUAA